AGGUCAAGUUAGUAAGGGCAUACGGUGGAUGCCUAGGCGCUGAGAGGCGAAGAAGGGCGCGGAUAACUGCGAAAAGCCACGGUGAGCCGUAAGCAGGCAUAGACCCGUGGAUACCCGAAUGGGGCAACCCGUCCGGAGUCAUAUCCGGACAUCGCUGACUGAAUCCAUAGGUCAGUGAAGCCAACCCGGGGAACUGAAACAUCUAAGUACCCGGAGGAAAAGAAAUCAAGCGAGAUUCCCCCAGUAGCGGCGAGCGAACGGGGAAUAGCCUAAACCGUCUCUACGGAGACGGGGUUGCGGGACCUUCAUCCCGAAUGAAUCAUCCUAGUCGAAGCGGUCUGGAAAGGCCCGGCACAGCAGGUAAAACCCCUGUAGGCGAAAGGACGAGCCAUUCCGAAGGGAUCCCAAGUACCGCGGGGCACGUGAAAUCCCGUGGGAAUCCGGGGGGACCACCCUCCAAGGCUAAAUACUCCUCAGCGACCGAUAGUGAACCAGUACCGUGAGGGAAAGGUGAAAAGCACCCCGUAAGGGGAGUGAAAGAGAACCUGAACCCGUAUGCUUACAAGCAGUCGGAGCGCGAAAGCGUGACGGCGUGCCUUUUGUAGAAUGAACCGGCGAGUUGCGGUCACGAGCAAGGUUAAGGCUCGAAGCCGAAGCCGAAGCGAAAGCGAGUCUGAAUAGGGCGCGUAAGUUCGUGGCUGCAGACCCGAAACCGGGUGAUCUACCCAUGUCCAGGGUGAAGCGGAGGUAAAACUUCGUGGAGGCC
Molecule: ribosomal RNA, 766 nt
Filed under: Heliobacterium mobile
Lineage: Bacteria; Bacillati; Bacillota; Clostridia; Eubacteriales; Heliobacteriaceae
Description: Heliobacillus mobilis partial 23S ribosomal RNA
Rfam family: Bacterial large subunit ribosomal RNA
Source: RNAcentral